This 520-nucleotide ribosomal RNA is filed under the name uncultured Glomeromycotina. Its description in RNAcentral is "SSU rRNA". It matches the Rfam family "Eukaryotic small subunit ribosomal RNA", at positions 569 to 1091 of the family's 1831-position model. The record is from RNAcentral. Lineage: Eukaryota; Fungi; Glomeromycota.
AGCAGCCGCGGUAAUUCCAGCUCCAAUAGCGUAUAUUAAAGUUGUUGCAGUUAAAAAGCUCGUAGUUGAAUUUCGGGAUCAGCGCGUCGGUCGUGCCUCCGGUAUGCACUGGCGCCGCUGGUUUCUCCCUUCUGAGGAACCGUGAUGUCAUUAAUUUGGUGUUGCGGGAAAUCAGGACUGUUACUUUGAAAAAUUGAGUGUUUAAAGCGGGCACGCGCUUGAAUACAUUAGCAUGGAAUAACGAAAUAGGACGUUCGAUCUUAUUUUGUUGGUUUCUAGGAUUGACGUAAUGAUUAAUAGGGAUAGUUGGGGGCAUUAGUAUUCAAUUGUCAGAGGUGAAAUUCUUGGAUUUAUUGAAGACUAACUACUGCGAAAGCAUUUGCCAAGGAUGUUUUCAUUAAUCAAGAACGAAAGUUAGGGGAUCGAAGACGAUCAGAUACCGUCGUAGUCUUAACCAUAAACUAUGCCGACUAGGGAUCGGAUGAUGUUAAUUUUUUAAUGUACUCAUUCGGCGCCUUAA